RNAcentral lists this long non-coding RNA (1554 nucleotides) under Citrus maxima (pomelo). RNAcentral describes it as "long non-coding RNA (CMAX_LNC002994)". The record is from RNAcentral. Lineage: Eukaryota; Viridiplantae; Streptophyta; Magnoliopsida; Sapindales; Rutaceae.
UGACAACGGUUUCUCGAACGCAAGAAAAUUGAAGUGGGCAAGGCGUAACUGUGGCUGGGGCAGCGCUUCCGUGUGGGAUUUUUGAAUUGGCUUGCGAUGACUUGCAGUUUGUCGUGGCAGUAUUGAAUGAAUCAGAAGGGAUUGGGUUAACAAAAUUUAAGGUUAGUGCAAUUCGAAUUUUAGAUUAGUGAUAGGAAUCAUUUGUCGCUACUAAAAGUGGAUGGUGGAAAUUUAACGUUUCGUUUGGAUAAUUGGAAAAAUUGGGAGUGCAUGGCAAAAAAUUAACAUUAAAUUAAGGAUAUGUCCUGAACAACGCGGUUGGUGGUUGAGUGGAAAUAUUGAACCCAGUUGAAUAAUGAAUUGUUUUGCAUAUACAUGGUUGCAAAAUAGAUGUUGUACAGAGAUGGAAAAAUUGAGGAGUAGAGGGCAAUAAUUAUUCAAAUUAUUUAGGGAUUAUUUAGCAGCAGUCAAUAAAAUCUCACCGGAGCCACCAAUCUAACCGCACUCCGUUCUUCCUCACCAUUCUCAUAGUCGGCUCGCUCUGUCUUCUCUGUCGAUUUCAUCUCUCACAACAAUUAGUGCCACAUCUUCUUCACUUUAGAAUAAGAAACACUCAGCUUAAGAAAACACAAAACAUAAAACUCAAAUAUAACAUUAAGCAUAAACUCGGUUAAAAUUUAUCUCCAAAUUAUAGAUUCCAUCUGAAUUAUUAUACAACGAUGCAGCUAUAUAUCAAUUAUCAUUCGAAUAAAACAAAAACCAAAACAAGGAAAAGGCAUGGUAUACAAUCAUUCAUGGGUUAGACACAUAAUCACUGCAUGAUCAGACAUUCUAAUAAGAAAUUUCCAACAGUUGGCGAAGAGAUAACAGCAGCUGUGACCCACAACUGCUAUGGAAUUUAGGAGGGAGAGAGAGUGAGCGGCAGCUGCUGGAUUUGGAGAAGGAGAGACCCACGGCUGCUGGGUCUCUCGGGGGAAGAGAGAGUGACCCAUGACUGUUGGAUUUGGGAUGAAGAGGAGAGAGAGAGCCGACAAUGAGAUUAGUGGCGAGCGAGCAAGAGAGAGAGAGAGAGCUUGUGUUGCAAUUGUCAACACGUGUGUGUUACAAUUUAUACUUACCUCAAAACGCACCGUUCGUUGCUAUUUAUGGUGCUAAAUGUGGUGUGAAUCUCAUUUUCCAAGAAAUUUAUUGUUAUAUACGCCAACUUUUUCUUGUUUCCUUUAACACAGUAAUUGCAACAUGAACAGUUCCUGUCUAAUGACCACCACUCCCGGUUUCCUUAAACUGUCGCGUGGCCACUUCAGAACUGUACGAUUUUGUUCUUUUUCAUCCAACGGCUAACUCACUGCAUGACAAAGCAAGGGGGUACCGUGCCCAAGGUGCAUUGUAGACGAAGCCUAAUUUUUUGGAGGCCUGAUGUUAUCAAAAGCCCAAAUUAAUAUUUGACACACUUAUUAAAUUUGAUAUUAUUCCAUUCAUUUGGCAAAUUGAAUUCGAGUUCGAAUUCCGGUGGUGGAAUUAAUUGUCAAUUAAAUAUUCUUAAAGCCCAACGUU